RNAcentral lists this ribosomal RNA (253 nucleotides) under uncultured bacterium. RNAcentral's name for it is "partial 16S ribosomal RNA". It matches the Rfam family "Bacterial small subunit ribosomal RNA", at positions 524 to 776 of the family's 1533-position model. The record is from RNAcentral.
GACGGAGGUUGCGAGCGUGAUCGGGAUUCACUGGGUUUAAAGGGUGAGGGUGCGGCUUUAUCAGUCAGAAGUGAAAGAUUUGAGCUUAACUGAGAAAUUGCUGUUGAUACUGUAGAGCUAGAAUCUGGUUGAGGUCAGCGGAAUGUGGCAAGUAGAGGUGAAAUGCAUGGAUAUGACAUAGAACACCAAUUGCGAAGGCAGGUGGCUGGGCUUAGAUUGACGCUGAGGCGCGAAAGCGUGGGGAGAGAACAGG